AACGAACGCUGGCGGCAGGCUUAAUACAUGCAAGUCGAACGCACCCUUCGGGGUGAGUGGCAGACGGGUGAGUAACGCGUGGGAAUCUACCCAAUACUACGGAAUAGCUCCGGGAAACUGGAAUUAAUACCGUAUGUGCCCUACGGGGGAAAGAUUUAUCGGUAUUGGAUGAGCCCGCGUUGGAUUAGCUAGUUGGUGGGGUAAUGGCCUACCAAGGCGACGAUCCAUAGCUGGUCUGAGAGGAUGAUCAGCCACACUGGGACUGAGACACGGCCCAGACUCCUACGGGAGGCAGCAGUAGGGAAUAUUGGACAAUGGGCGAGAGCUUGAUCCAGCCAUGCCGCGUGAGUGAUGAAGGCCUUAGGGUUGUAAAGCUCUUUCAGUGGGGAAGAUAAUGACGGUACCCACAGAAGAAGCCCCGGCUAACUUCGUGCCAGCAGCCGCCGUAA
Molecule: ribosomal RNA, 449 nt
Filed under: uncultured bacterium
Lineage: Bacteria
Description: partial 16S ribosomal RNA
Rfam family: Bacterial small subunit ribosomal RNA
Source: RNAcentral